This 500-nucleotide ribosomal RNA is filed under the name uncultured bacterium. RNAcentral describes it as "bacterial SSU rRNA". It matches the Rfam family "Bacterial small subunit ribosomal RNA", at positions 30 to 527 of the family's 1533-position model. The record is from RNAcentral.
AUUGAACGCUGGCGGAAUGCUUUACACAUGCAAGUCGAACGGUAGAGGGGGCAACCCCUUGAGAGUGGCGAACGGGUGAGUAAUAUAUCGGAACGUGCCCAGUCGUGGGGAUAACGUAGCGAAAGUUACGCUAAUACCGCAUACGAUCUAAGGAUGAAAGCGGGGGAUCGCAAGACCUCGCGCGAUUGGAGCGGCCGAUAUCAGAUUAGGUAGUUGGUGAGGUAAAGGCUCACCAAGCCAACGAUCUGUAGCUGGUCUGAGAGGACGACCAGCCACACUGGAACUGAGACACGGUCCAGACUCCUACGGGAGGCAGCAGUGGGGAAUUUUUGGACAAUGGACGCAAGUCUGAUCCAGCCAUUCCGCGUGCAGGAUGAAGGCCCUCGGGUUGUAAACUGCUUUUGUACGGAACGAAAAGGUUUCUAUUAAUACGAGGAGCUCAUGACGGUACCGUAAGAAUAAGCACCGGCUAACUACGUGCCAGCAGCCGCGGUAAAGUG